RNAcentral lists this ribosomal RNA (506 nucleotides) under uncultured bacterium. RNAcentral's name for it is "partial 16S ribosomal RNA". It matches the Rfam family "Bacterial small subunit ribosomal RNA", at positions 30 to 523 of the family's 1533-position model. The record is from RNAcentral.
AUUGAACGCUGGCGGCAGGCCUAACACAUGCAAGUCGAGCGGCGGCGGGAAGUAGCUUGCUACUUUGCCGGCGAGCGGCGGACGGGUGAGUAAUGUCUGGGAAACUGCCCGAUGGAGGGGGGUAACUACUGGAAACGGUAGCUAAUACCGCAUAACGUCGCAAGACCAAAGAGGGGGACCUUCGGGCCUCUUGCCAUCGGCUGUUCCCAGAUGGGAUUAGCUAGUAGGUGGGGUAAUGGCUCACCUAGGCGACGAUCCCUAGCUGGUCUGAGAGGAUGACCAGCCACACUGGAACUGAGACACGGUCCAGACUCCUACGGGAGGCAGCAGUGGGGAAUAUUGCACAAUGGGCGCAAGCCUGAUGCAGCCAUGCCGCGUGUAUGAAGAAGGCCUUCGGGUUGUAAAGUACUUUCAGCGGGGAGGAAGGCGAUGGAGUUAAUAGCUUCAUCGAUUGACGUUACCCGCAGAAGAAGCACCGGCUAACUCCGUGCCAGCCGCCGCGGUAA